RNAcentral lists this ribosomal RNA (448 nucleotides) under uncultured prokaryote. RNAcentral's name for it is "bacterial SSU rRNA". It matches the Rfam family "Bacterial small subunit ribosomal RNA", at positions 355 to 796 of the family's 1533-position model. The record is from RNAcentral.
UGGGGAAUCUUGGACAAUGGGGGAAACUCUGACCCAGCAACGCCGCGUGAAGGAUGAAGGCCCUCGGGUCGUAAACUUCUGUCGAGAGGGAAGAAACGCGUACGGUUAAUAUCCGUGCGCCUGACGGUACCUCCAAAGGAAGCACCGGCUAACUCCGUGCCAGCAGCCGCGGUAAUACGGAGGGUGCAAGCGUUGUUCGGAUUUAUUGGGCGUAAAGCGAGUGUAGGCGGUUUGACAAGUCGGGUGUGAAAGCCCAGGGCCCAACCCUGGAACUGCACCCGAUACUGUUAGGCUAGAAUUCCGGAGAGGGUGGCGGAAUUCCCGGUGUAGGGGUGAAAUCCGUAGAUAUCGGGAGGAACACCAGUGGCGAAGGCGGCCACCUGGACGGUAAUUGACGCUCAGACUCGAAAGCGUGGGUAGCAAACAGGAUUAGAUACCCGCGUAGUCC